Molecule: ribosomal RNA, 473 nt
Filed under: uncultured bacterium
Lineage: Bacteria
Description: bacterial SSU rRNA
Rfam family: Bacterial small subunit ribosomal RNA
Source: RNAcentral
GCAAGUCGAGGGGCAGCAUGGUCUAGCUGCUAAGACUGAUGGCGACCGGCGCACGGGUGAGUAACGCGUAUCCAACCUUCCGCAUAGUAGGGAAUAGCCCGGCGAAAGUCGGAUUAAUGCCCUAUGUUUUCCGAUGAGGACAUCUGAGCUGGAACAAAGAUUUAUCGCUAUGCGAUGGGGAUGCGUCUGAUUAGCUUGUCGGCGGGGUAACGGCCCACCGAGGCGACGAUCAGUAGGGGUUCUGAGAGGAAGGUCCCCCACAUUGGUACUGAGACACGGACCAAACUCCUACGGGAGCAGCAGUGAGGAAUAUUGGUCAAUGGACGAGAGGUCUGAACCAGCCAAGUAGCGUGCAAGGAUGACUGCCCUAUGGGUUAGUAAACUGUCUUUUAUGCGGGAAUAAAGUGAGGUACGUGUACCUUUUUGUAUGUACCGCAUGAAUAAGGACCGGCUAAUUCCGUGCCAGCCGCUGC